RNAcentral lists this ribosomal RNA (253 nucleotides) under uncultured bacterium. Its description in RNAcentral is "partial 16S ribosomal RNA". It matches the Rfam family "Bacterial small subunit ribosomal RNA", at positions 524 to 776 of the family's 1533-position model. The record is from RNAcentral.
CACGUAGGGCGCAAGCGUUGUCCGGAAUUAUUGGGCGUAAAGAGCUCGUAGGCGGUCUGUUGCGUCCGCUGUGAAAACUCGGGGCUUAACCCCGAGCCUGCGGUGGAUACGGGCAGACUAGAGGUAGGUAGGGGAGAAUGGAAUUCCCGGUGUAGCGGUGAAAUGCGCAGAUAUCGUAAGGAAGACCAGUGGCGAAGGCGGGUCUCUGGACAGUUCCUGACGCUGAGGCACGAAGGCCAGGGGAGCAAACGGG